RNAcentral lists this ribosomal RNA (651 nucleotides) under uncultured Hyphomicrobiales bacterium. RNAcentral's name for it is "bacterial SSU rRNA". It matches the Rfam family "Bacterial small subunit ribosomal RNA", at positions 9 to 706 of the family's 1533-position model. The record is from RNAcentral. Lineage: Bacteria; Pseudomonadati; Pseudomonadota; Alphaproteobacteria; Hyphomicrobiales.
GAGUUUGAUCCUGGCUCAGAACGAACGCUGGCGGCAGGCUUAACACAUGCAAGUCGAGCGCACAGUUUACUGUGAGCGGCAGACGGGUGAGUAACGCGUGGGAAUCUACCUUGAGCUACGGGAUAACAGAGAGAAAUUUCUGCUAAUACCGUAUGUGGCCUUUGGGCGAAAGAUUUAUCGGCUUAAGAUGAGCCCGCGUUGGAUUAGCUGGUUGGUGGGGUAAAGGCCUACCAAGGCGACGAUCCAUAGCUGGUCUGAGAGGAUGAUCAGCCACACUGGGACUGAGACACGGCCCAGACUCCUACGGGAGGCAGCAGUGGGGAAUAUUGGACAAUGGGCGCAAGCCUGAUCCAGCCAUGCCGCGUGAGUGAAGAAGGCCUUAGGGUUGUAAAGCUCUUUCACCGGUGAAGAUAAUGACGGUAGCCGGAGAAGAAGCCCCGGCUAACUUCGUGCCAGCAGCCGCGGUAAUACGAAGGGGGCUAGCGUUGUUCGGAUUUACUGGGCGUAAAGCGCGCGUAGGCGGAUAGAUAAGUCAGAGGUGAAAUCCCGGGGCUCAACCCCGGAAUUGCCUUUGAUACUGUUUAUCUUGAGUGCAGAAGAGGUAAGUGGAAUUCCGAGUGUAGAGGUGAAAUUCGUAGAUAUUCGGAGGAC